ACCCCGCCCGCAUCAACUCCAACCCAUUUCUCCAGGGCUGGGCCCCAUGUCCCUGUCACCCCACAGCCCCCUCCAUCCCCAGUGUGUGAGUCCCUCAUCUCCACUCUCUGCUCCCCCCAACCUGCCAGAGUCCCCUUUUCAACCCCCGUGGGGCCCUCCAACCUGCCCCACCUGUCCUGUCUGGGGUCUCUAAAUUCCCCAUUCCCACAGUGCACCUUGGUAACCCUAACCUACUCUACCCCUAAUCCCCCUAGUCCCUUACCUUGGGUCCUUCUGGACACCCAACCCCACAGUCCGACCCCCCACAUAUAUCCCAGUCACUCAUUCACACAAUGAGCCAGUCCCUCAGGGCCCCCACUGCCCACCAAACUUCUCCAUCCGUCAACCCAGGGAAGCGGGGGCAAGCUCCCAGUUUGGCUGGGCUUGGUGUGAGUGUGCGUGCUGGGCUCACAAAGGCCUUUUGCUCCCUUGGGGUGGGGUGUGGUUUUUGGCCAAAGGUGACACAGUUUGGUAGCCCUGUGGAUGCCAUGUGGUGUCUGGAAUGGGGCGUGUGUGUUCCCAUGAUGCCCCUUGCUCUCUGCCUGCAGAGCUGAGAACAGACAGGUCUGAGGAGCAGAGCAGGAGUUCUGGGAAGGAGAAGAGCAAUAUGAAGAUGGAGUCUAAGAUGAGACCAGCAAUGGAAAACAAGU
Molecule: non-coding RNA, 689 nt
Organism: Chelonoidis abingdonii (Abingdon island giant tortoise)
Lineage: Eukaryota; Metazoa; Chordata; Testudines; Testudinidae
Source: RefSeq, a predicted model, not a curated record